AUUGAACGCUGGCGGCAUGCCUUACACAUGCAAGUCGAACGGUAACAGGUUAAGCUGACGAGUGGCGAACGGGUGAGUAAUGUAUCGGAACGUGCCCAGUUGUGGGGGAUAACUGCUCGAAAGAGCAGCUAAUACCGCAUACGACCUGAGGGUGAAAGCGGGGGAUCGCAAGACCUCGCGCAAUUGGAGCGGCCGAUAUCAGAUUAGGUAGUUGGUGGGGUAAAGGCUCACCAAGCCGACGAUCUGUAGCUGGUCUGAGAGGACGACCAGCCACACUGGGACUGAGACACGGCCCAGACUCCUACGGGAGGCAGCAGUGGGGAAUUUUGGACAAUGGGCGCAAGCCUGAUCCAGCCAUGCCGCGUGCGGGAAAAAGGCCUUCGGGUUGUAAACCGCUUUUGUCAGGGAAGAAACGCUCUGGGUUAGUACCCUGGGGUAAUGACGGUACCUGAAGAAUAAGCACCGGCUAACUACGUGCCAGCAGCCGCCGCGG
This 493-nucleotide ribosomal RNA is filed under the name uncultured bacterium. Its description in RNAcentral is "partial 16S ribosomal RNA". It matches the Rfam family "Bacterial small subunit ribosomal RNA", at positions 30 to 523 of the family's 1533-position model. The record is from RNAcentral.